RNAcentral lists this ribosomal RNA (301 nucleotides) under uncultured bacterium. RNAcentral describes it as "partial 16S ribosomal RNA". It matches the Rfam family "Bacterial small subunit ribosomal RNA", at positions 509 to 807 of the family's 1533-position model. The record is from RNAcentral.
CAGUAGCCACGGUAAUACGUAGGGUGCAAGCGUUGUCCGGAAUUAUUGGGCGUAAAGAGCUCGUAGGCGGUUUGUCGCGUCUGCUGUGAAAUCUGGGGGCUCAACCCCCAGCCUGCAGUGGGUACGGGCAGACUAGAGUGCGGUAGGGGAGAUUGGAAUUCCUGGUGUAGCGGUGGAAUGCGCAGAUAUCAGGAGGAACACCGAUGGCGAAGGCAGAUCUCUGGGGCGUAACUGACGCUGAGGAGCGAAAGCAUGGGGAGCGAACAGGAUUAGAGACCCCAGUAGUCCCUGUCUCUUAUAC